CCCUCUCGUCCUCAGGACCCGCUGUCUAUGACUCAGGAACACAUGGGGCCACGUCCGCCAUGACAGGAGUCCAGCUUCCUCAGGACCCGCUGGAGGACCCUGGAGGCGCUGUUCAGAGUCACUUUCACCUCAGCAGGACUACUCAGAACGACAAGCAGUUUGCAUUUUGUAAGGAGUCAUCUGGUUCAUUCAUUAUCUAUUGCUGAAAAAAAAUCACUUCAAAACGUUGUGUCUGAAAAUAACAAGCAUGGAUCAUCUCUGGAGAAUUCAAAUGGAAUAAAAGGGCACCCAAGAAAAGUAAAAUCUUUCUGUCCCAGGGAUCCAGUUCCAUCUACCUAUCCACCUACCCAGAGAUAAGUAUAUUUUACUGUUAAAAAGAUUUCUAAGUGUAAAUAACAAAAUUUUUGCCUUUUUGUUUUGAUAAUUUCAGAUUUACAAAAAUAGUACCAAAAAAACCCACAUACCCUUCACCUAAACUUCUCAAAUGUUAGCAUUUUGCCACAUUUGUUUUAUUAUUCUUUCUCUCAUAAAUAUAUAAUUUUCCUCUCUUACUCUCUCAUACACACAUACACACAUACAUAUCACAUGCACACUUUUUUCUGAACAAGUUGAGAUUGGAUUGCAAAUAUGCCUAUUUAUAUCUGUGUUUCCUGAAAAUAAGAUCAUUUUCCUUUAUAAACAUAGUAUAAUUAUAAAAAUCAAGAGAGUAACAUCAAUUUGAUAUUAUUAUCUAAUCUACAGACCUUAUUCAAAUGUUACUAACUACUCUACUAAUGUCUUUUAUAGCAGAAGAAAAAUAAUAGUUUUCUGCUUCAAGAUCCAAUCCAAGAUCACACAUUGCAUUUAGUUGUCAUGCCUGUUUAGUCUCCUUUAAAUUGGAAGAGUUCCUCAGUCUUUGUUUUUCUAUAGAUAAUAUUUUUAUAAAAUCACAAAUAUAAUAAUUCUAUUUAUACUUAUGUCCCUUAUCUUUUUCCCUUACCAAUCUAAUGUUACAUUUCAGUACAUAUGUAUUAUCUCAUUCCCUUCACCAACUACACAGUAAUGUAUCAGUCAGGAUGAUCUGGAUUUCGCCAUGAUAACAAAAAUACCAGAAGUGGCUUAAUGCUGCAAAUUCUUGUGCAUGUGACAUCUGUUUGUCCUCCUUAUGAAGGCGCAGUGCUCUGGCUGCUUCUGUCUCAUGACUCUCCCUCCUGGGAUGUGUUUCUACAAUUGCUGCACCAGAAGAGCUUGGGGAACUUCACGUGGACUCUUAAAAUCCUUUAAAAUUUUCAGACGACAAAACAAAUCACAUCAGCAUGCCCACCCUCAAAGGGGCAGAAAUAUAUUCCUUCCACCUACCCAGAAGGAAAAGGAAUCAAGAAAUACUGGCAAGACUGGAAAUGCAUCUUGUUGAUCCUUAAGGUACCGCUUCACACAGGACAGUUACCGCGCAGAUGUGUGUAAAAUGGGACAUCUGCAUCUAGUCCAAAUUGUGGCAUUGUUUCACAUCAAAUAGAAGUUGUGAACCUAAUAUGAAGCAAACUAAGUGUAAAGGUCCUCCUGCACGUUAAAGACACAACGUGAAGAAGCAUGUCCUUGAGUCAACAUAGAAUGAUCGAUGUCUAAGAGCUGGAAGAUGUUGAACCAGAACUCAUCCAAAAAAAGCUGAAAGGCAGAGACCAAGGAGAAGGAGGGAGCAUUUGGAGACUACUCAGUGAUACCAAAUCCUGGAAUCCACAGAAUGAGACAAGAGGGAGGAAUUUUAAGCAAUUUUUAACUCUUGAGACUGUCUGCUUCGUUUGUAUAUGGGUCUUCUGGGAUAGCUCACACCUCAGCAUACUCCAUGAGGCCAGGCAAUCUUCAGAGUGCUUUACAUGGAAUAUGUCGUUUCCCCCACAACCCUAUGAGUUUUUUCAGGGACCCUGAUGCUGGUUUAUGGAUCCCCCAUCUAAGGCUGGUGUGAUAGACAAAAUAAUGACCUCCCGAAGAUAUCUAUACCCAAGAAUCCAGAAUUUGUAAGUUUGUCCUCUUACAUGGCAAAAGGAACUUUGCAGAUGUCAUUAAAGCUAUGGACCUUAAAAUUGGGAGAUUAUUUUGGAUUAUCUGGGUGGGCUCAAUUUAAUCACAUGAGACCUUAAAAACGGAAGUGGAAGUCAGACACUGGGGCAGAGAGAUGAGACCAAAGAAAAAAGGAAGAGAAAUUUCAAGUAUGAUAGGGAUUCAACCCACUGCUGCUGGCUUUGAAGAUGAGGAAGGAAAUGGGGACCUUAGUCCUACCCCCACAGGGACCAGAGUUCUGCUAACAACCACAAAUAACCAAAAAAACAAAACAAAACAAAACAAAACAAAACAAAAAAACCACCCACACCCUGAUCUCCUCCUGAGCCUCUAAAAAGGAAUGCAACCCUGCUGAUGAUAACUUGAUUUAGUCCAGUGAGACUUGUGUCAGAUGUCUGAUGUCGAGGACUGCAAGAUAAUAAACAUUUGCCGUUUUAAGUCACCAAGCUUGUGGUAAUUUGUUGCAACAGCAAUAGGAAAUUAAUAGCUGGUUAGUUCCUUUAUUCAAGUUAACUAAAUUCCCCUAAUGCCUAGACAAGAAAGGAAAUGCACAAAAUUGUGUGACUCUAGUCCUUCUCUUACAUGGAGAGAAAAGCAAAAAUGUAUGAGGCGAAUCUGGAUUGUUCUCUGUGAUUUAAACCAUAUCCCAGGGGCAGUGGACACAAUACCACCCUAGUACGGGUCUAAAAGCCAUUGUUUGUCCAGAACUGGAUUAACUGGUGCCAAACCUAGAGACAUCAUCUCUCAGGGACUUAUUUUCUAUCUGUCUUCUGAGCAGGUGCCAUUAGAGGAGUGAAAGGGUGAAUCAGAGCGCACUUUUAUAUAUGAUGAAAGAUUUUGGAUUUAUGUGCAAUAGUAAUGACAUAUGGCAUUUGAUUUUAGAAUAGAAAUACUUUGCUAAAGAAAAGAAUAUUCCUAGGUUGAUUUAUUUGCAAUUAUGAGCAGUAAUUAUCUAAAAUUCAGCUUCCUGUUUGAUCAAUGGUAAUAAAAUGCUUUGUUUACAUUUUUAGCAGAAAAGGUUUAAGAAUAAGACAAAAGAGGGGCACCUGGGUGGCUGAGUGGUUAAGCGUCUGCCUUCGGCUCAGGGUGUGACCCCGGGGUCCUGGGGUCGAGUCCCACAUCGGGCUCCUUGCAGGGAGCCUGCUUCUCCCUCUGCCUAUGUCUCUGCCUCUUUCUGUGUGUCUCUCAUGAAUAAAUAAAGUCUUAUUUAAAAAAAGAGAUUAAGAAAAAUGAAAAAACAAAACAUAACUCAAAUGCAUUCAGUGAAACCCUGUAAUGUUCAUGUAUUAUUUCCUUGAACUCUCUUGCCUAAGUUGCACCCAGGCUGCAUUGCCCUCCCGUUGCCUGGCAAGUCAGUGUCUCGGGUUUUGUUCACUUUGUCUCUCCCUUCUUUGCAUCACACCUCCCGCCAUCCUCUGGCAGCAUGAGGGGCUGUGCCACCAGGGCUGUGUCUGCAGGGCCUGGGGGUCCCCUGACUGGGAAGCGGCUGCCUCAUUGGUGCCAGGCUCCGACAAAAGCCAGGGCCGCCGCCACGUGGGUUCGUUGGGGGGGUUAAUAGAGAGAGUACCUAGGAGGGUAUGCAUGUCUUCUUCCUGACAUAUGUGACAGAAUCAUGACUUCAGACAGUUCCGAAACUUUAACCCAAAGAGACAGGUUAUGGAGAGAGCACAGAUCCUCGGCAGAGUUUUCUUCUGGAGCCCGUGAACAGUACAGUAAUAACAUUUGCAUCAUCCCGGGUCAGUUGGGCUUCCGCCCUAGGAACUGCCGAAGUCAACCUGCUUCGGGCCAGCCUUGUCGGCAGCCUUCCCGGCAAUGACCUGGUUGUCCGGUUCUGGGUCUGCCGCCAGGAUACACCGUGUAGAUGCAGGUGAGUGAAUAGCCUGAGACGUAGGGCCAAGUUCUCAUCUUCUGCAUCACUUUCUCAUCAUGCAAGGGUCUACGCUUUGUAGACAUGACUGGAUGACCUAAAGGGCUCACACUCCCCACACUGAUUGUAUUUCUUAAAAGUAAGAAUUAUGUAAUAUUCUUCUAUCUCAAUUUUAGUAUCUAGCUGUGCUUUUUUUGUUUCUUAAAUUACCUAAGUCUGAUUUUGCAUUAAACACUCUUCUGAAAAUCUU
Molecule: long non-coding RNA, 4154 nt
Organism: Canis lupus familiaris (dog)
Lineage: Eukaryota; Metazoa; Chordata; Mammalia; Carnivora; Canidae
Exons: 7
Source: RefSeq, a predicted model, not a curated record